RNAcentral lists this ribosomal RNA (545 nucleotides) under uncultured bacterium. Its description in RNAcentral is "partial 16S ribosomal RNA". It matches the Rfam family "Bacterial small subunit ribosomal RNA", at positions 355 to 909 of the family's 1533-position model. The record is from RNAcentral.
UGGGGAAUAUUGCACAAUGGGCGAAAGCCUGAUGCAGCAACGCCGCGUGAGGGACGACGGCCUUCGGGUUGUAAACCUCUUUUAGCAAGGAAGAAGCGAAAGUGACGGUACUUGCAGAAAAAGCGCCGGCUAACUACGUGCCAGCAGCCGCGGUAAUACGUAGGGCGCAAGCGUUAUCCGGAAUUAUUGGGCGUAAAGAGCUCGUAGGCGGUUUGUCGCGUCUGCUGUGAAAACCCGAGGCUCAACCUCGGGCCUGCAGUGGGUACGGGCGGACUAGAGUGCGGUAGGGGAGAUUGGAACUCCUGGUGUAGCGGUGGAAUGCGCAGAUAUCAGGAAGAACACCGAUGGCGAAGGCAGAUCUCUGGGCCCGUAACUGACGCUGAGGAGCGAAAGGGUGGGGAGCAAACAGGCUUAGAUACCCUGGUAGUCCACCCCGUAAACGUUGGGAACUAGUUGUGGGGUCCAUUCCACGGAUUCCGUGACGCAGCUAACGCAUUAAGUUCCCCGCCUGGGGAGUACGGCCGCAAGGCUAAAACUCAAAGGAA